CACCGCCACCACACCCGUCGGACCAUCGGUCAAAGAGCGGCAUCACCUCCACUGUCAAAACCUCAUCCCUUUCUCCUCUUUUUCUUUGAAAAAAAGAGCACCAACGGCUCUCUCCUCUCAAAAAUCACUCUGAAAAGUUAAAGAAUUCAGACCCUCUUCAUCAUUUUCCCUCUCUUUAAGAUUCCCAUAGAUUCCCCCUCUUUUCCUUGAACUUGAAUUUCAAAUUUUAGCUUCUUGAAGAAGCCACUGAGGUCUCAACUCCAUGCUAUAAAUACAACCUUCUCUUGGCUAAGAAAAAAAAAAACGGCAAAAGCUGAAAAUUCCCUUUGAACUAGGCUUUUGAUUGAGAGAAAAUUCCCAUUUUUCUUACUAUUUUCAAAGCUUUGGCUAUCUGAAAAAAUCCUAUUUUAAAGUCUAGGUUCUCUGCUAAGCAGAGCUACAAAAUACUUAGGUCUCAUUCUUUUACUGUUCGCAACAACAAAAACUACUUUGAGCGGAUUCGAGGACUCGAUGACGACAAUAGCCUCAGUUCGCUGCACGAAGAAGGUAACCACUCUAGUCUUCAUCUCAUUUUUUUUUAGUUUAUUAGAAGUAAAAUAUAGUUGUUAAUUUUGUUGUUAAUGUUGUCGACUUGAACCUGCUGCUGCUCUGUUGUGCCUUAAGUCUAUACAUAGGAUCAGUAAUAUGGAAGAAUCACACUUAGAAGAAUUAGUUGUUAAUUCAUCAAACAUGUGUUCGACUUUGUUGCUCGCCUAAUUUUUUGUUAGAGCUUGAGCUGUUGUAAUUUUGUGGUCUGAAUCCGUAUGAAAAUGGCUAGAAAGACUAACGACUCUCAGGAAAAUAUUAGUCUACUUGGUGAAUAGGUGAAUGACUUCACUACUUUAAGCCCUGAUUUAAUACCUUAAUGAGUUUGGUUUGAUAUGAUAUCAGAAUAGAAUCAACUCAAGAAUACUUGUAAUGUAUUGUGAUAAGCUUGUUUGUUAAUUCACUUCUUUUAAAAAUCUAUCUCUAUAGUUUGCAUGAUCUGAUGGCCGCUUUGCUUAAAAAUUUCCUUGCUGGAUUAUCAGUUUACUACAGGUUUGAGAUUUUUUUUUUUUUCUUUUCUUAAAGACAUGUUCAUGCUAAGUAUACUUGUUUUCUUUAUACAAAAGGUUUAAAUUAACUAAGAUGGGUCUAUUGUGAAUCUGUAGGAAAACUUCUGUUCCUUCAGAAAUUUCCAAUAGCAGGACAUAGUUGAGCAUCUCAAUUGUUGAACUAAUUUUACACUCUAUUUGUAUUCAAGAAACUGAUUAUGCUAAUGAGCCCAUCCCCUGUAUGUUAAUCUAAAGAAGAAGAAAAAAACAUUCUAGUUUGAUAAGACCCCUGUUUGGUUGUGUUUUCCUCUUCAACUUGGGUUGGCUAGAAAUACAUAAGAUGAUUAGAUUCAUGCUCGUUUGAGUUAAAAUCCACCUUGCAACAUGAAACCUGGACCUACUUGUUUCCCUAGAUUGGUAUCACAAUGGUUUGGGAUAAGCUGUUUGAGGAUCAUAAGAAAUUAAAAUGUGUACUUGUGAACUCAAGAUCUCCUAUUGAGAUGAGUUUAUUUACUGAAGCUUGUGUAUGUUACUUUCUUAGUCAUUCAUCUAUGUGUCAGCAACAAGAAAAAUGAGUGCUAAUUAGUUUUUCCAGUUAGUUUUAAAUUUUCAGAAGUUAGGCUUUGUCAAUAUCUAGUAUUCUCAAGUCUUAAAACAUUUAUGUAACCUGUUAAUAACAAAGACAAUGUGCCACUACAUUUGGCCAUGAUUUAAUGCCCGAAUCCUCUUUUGUGAUAAGUAUUUGGGGUGUUUCUUUUGUCGUUCAGUUCCCGUGGAUCAAUUACCUCAUUUUGCUGCUUUGUAUACUCUUCUAAAAGUGAAUAGACAUUUAUUUGGACAGUUUAGAUGUCAUGUGUACGUUUUUUUAGAAUAUAUUGAAGUAUUUGUCUCCAGGUUGUGUGUAUUUUACUAUCUAGUUCUACUUCCUAUUUGUGUUUCCGAGAUGACUCUAAUCCUUAUCUUUUCUUUCUUUUUUCAUGACCAUCGUGGGAGUAUGUGGGAGUUGUAGCUUAACUCCAAUUCUGCCCAGAAGCAUAGGAACAGCCAGCAGCUGCACGUCUUGUUCGCGUCUAGCAACCCCGUUUUCGCCAAAGAGUCCAUGUCAUCCUUUCCUCUCUUCAUACUUUCAUCCUUUUGCGUUAAUGUAUAUGUACAUGUUUUGACUAACUCCGUGUGGAUUCGAUAUCUUGUGCUGGUGCAGUACUUGGAUUGUGUUUGGGUUUGUAUAAACCAUUUAAGUGUGAUAAUGAAUUUAGACAUUACCUCUUUACCCCCUUCAGAUAUCAGAUUCGGUACAAAAAAAUAGUUUAGGUAUACGUAACACUAUUUUGCUAGACUGGUUUUCUCCGCUCCGAUUUCAACUUUUUUCAGAAUUGCAAAAGAAUGCUUCUUGAAGGUCACUAUCUGA
This is a long non-coding RNA of Lycium ferocissimum, 2481 nucleotides long. RefSeq lists it as uncharacterized. The transcript is spliced from 2 exons. Lineage: Eukaryota; Viridiplantae; Streptophyta; Magnoliopsida; Solanales; Solanaceae. The record is from RefSeq and is a predicted model, not a curated record.